AUUCCAGCUCCAAUAGCGUAUAUUAAAGUUGUUGCAGUUAAAAAGCUCGUAGUUGUAUGUCUGGCGCUGUGUUGCGGUCCACCGCAAGGUGAGCACUGCGAUGUGGUGUCUUCCUCUCGAAGGUGUUGUGUGCUCUUAGUUGAGUGUGCGAUUUUUUUGGGAUCUUUACUUUGAAAAAAUUAGAGUGUUCAAAGCAGGCGAUUGCUUGAAUAUAUUAGCAUGGAAUAAUGGAAUAGGACUUUGGUUCUAUUUUGUUGGUUUCUAGGACCGAGGUAAUGAUUAAUAGGGGUAGUUGGGGGCAUUCGUAUUUAAUUGUCAGAGGUGAAAUUCUUGGAUUUAUGAAAGACGAACUUCUGCGAAAGCAUUUGCCAAGGAUGUUUUCAUUG
This 386-nucleotide ribosomal RNA is filed under the name Choanoflagellata sp. Its description in RNAcentral is "partial small subunit ribosomal RNA". It matches the Rfam family "Eukaryotic small subunit ribosomal RNA", at positions 582 to 975 of the family's 1831-position model. The record is from RNAcentral. Lineage: Eukaryota; Choanoflagellata.